This 330-nucleotide unclassified non-coding RNA is filed under the name soil metagenome. RNAcentral's name for it is "partial contains 5.8S ribosomal RNA, internal transcribed spacer 2, and large subunit ribosomal RNA". The stretch from base 4 to 119 matches the Rfam family "5.8S ribosomal RNA", at positions 39 to 154 of the family's 154-position model. The record is from RNAcentral.
GAUAAGAACGCAGCGAAAUGCGAUAAGUAAUGUGAAUUGCAGAAUUCAGUGAAUCAUCGAAUCUUUGAACGCACAUUGCGCCCCCUGGUAUUCCGGGGGGCAUGCCUGUUCGAGCGUCAUUUCACCACUCAAGCCUCGCUUGGUAUUGGGCAACGCGGUCCGCCGCGUGCCUCAAAUCGACCGGCUGGGUCUUCUGUCCCCUAAGCGUUGUGGAAACUAUUCGCUAAAGGGUGUUCGGGAGGCUACGCCGUAAAACAACCCCAUUUCUAAGGUUGACCUCGGAUCAGGUAGGGAUACCCGCUGAACUUAAGCAUAUCAAUAAGCGGAGGA